This 136-nucleotide microRNA precursor is filed under the name Hordeum vulgare. Its description in RNAcentral is "microRNA MIR1122". It matches the Rfam family "MIR1120/MIR1122 microRNA precursor family". Lineage: Eukaryota; Viridiplantae; Streptophyta; Magnoliopsida; Poales; Poaceae. The record is from RNAcentral.
CAAAUACUCCCUUCGUUCUAAAAUUCUUGUCUUAGAUUUGUUUAAAUAUGAAUGUAUCUAGUCAAGUUUUAGUAUUUAGAUACGUCCAUUUCUAGACAAAGUUAAGACAAAAAUUUUGGGACGGAGGGAGAAGACA